UUGAUGAACGUCAUCAAUGAGUAAGCUCCUGAAAUACAAACCUCUGGGUGAGAACAUAAAUAAUCACAAUUGUAUGCCUUAGUAUCAACGUUGGUCAAAAUUAAAACAUACAACUGUUUAUGCAAUAAAACUAUAUCACCGUUGGGCAGAAAUAGAAUUAAUGCAUAAUAAUCUUUUAAUUACAUCAUAAUAAUGCCAUUAAUCAACGUUGGUCAGAAUAAUAACAAUAUUAUAAUAAUCUGGAAAACAUAUCUAUUUUCAAAAUUAAAUUCUCCCGUUGGUUCGAAUUUAAUAGUGAAACAAGUAUCUGUAAAUACGCAGCGGAAUCUUUAAUAAUUUCUUUAUCUAUUUUCUAGAAACAUCUGAAUACUUUACUAUUCUCUGAAUAAAAUUAUCGUUGGACCAAAAUUAUACAGAGAAAAGUAAUAAAAUCUAUGCAAAAUUUAAUUAAAUAUGCAUAAAACUGCUUCUGGAAAAAGAAAAAAGGAAAAACUGUGUGAUUUCUUGUGUGGAUGGCCAUUUCGGCCUGGGCAAACUCGCGGCCCACGCGGCUGCUCGCGCGCGCGGCCCGGUAGCAGCUGGCGCACGCGCGGCCCAGCGAGCCCAGCAGCGCGUUUUUUUUGAUUCUGUGUUUCGGCCCAGUGGGAAAAAUCGGCCCACUACCGAGCUGUGCGCAGCGCUGCCCCGCGCCCAGGCCGCAACCUGGGCCUGGGCCGGCAAAGUCGUCCCCCGCCUGGGCCGAUUCUGGCCCAACGCGGUGGCGCCCGAUCUGGACCGUUCAUCUAUAUCCAACGGCUGAGAGCGAAAAUCGGUGGUAUAAAAAAGCCCCCAGCAGCCGGCCCCCUCAAAACCCUAGCUCAUUUCUCCAUUUCCCUUCUCUCUCUAUACUGCGCCGCACUCAGCAGCAGCAGGCCACCGGCGGCGGCGGAUGGCCGCCAUCGGACCAAGUCCGGCCGGUGCUCCCUCCUUCUCUCCCUUCUCUACCGUGCCGCAACCCUCUGUUUCUUUCUCCCCAUCUUCUACUGCUGUAUAGGAGCAGCAACACGGCCGGCAGAGGAGGCCGUGGAUGGAGAAGCCAGCACCGUCGCGGGCCCCUUCGCCGGCGUGCGCGCUCCCCACUGGGUGAACGCACCGCCGUCGAAUGGCCUCGUGUCGGCGCUUUUGUCGCGUGUCCGUUGGUUGGUGACGGUGAGAAGCAGGAAAAAAAAUUCUAGGGUUAGGGUUCUAUGUUCUUGAUCUCGAUCUAGUGUUCUGGAUUCGAAACAAUUUAUUUUCUUUCUUCUGUUCCCGAGAUCUAGAUCUACUAACUAGAUAGGCGACUGAUACCAUUGAUAGACAUAAUCUGUUCAUAGGAUCGACUAGCAGUAGAUCUAGGUGGGUAUGUUCUUUGAUUUGUAAACAACAUAUGCAUAUCCUUAUACAAGAUCUAAUACAAGAACUGUAAAUACAAGGAUUAAAUAGAUCGGGAUUAAUAGGAUUAGACCGUCGACGGUAGGAGCAGCAGGGGCGGCGGAAGACGAUCCCGAGGCCAUCACGUCAGUGGCGGGGUUGAUCUUCGACGACGUCGGUGGUGGCAGUGAUGCGGACGUCGAGACGGCGCAGAUCCGGCGUCGGUGAGUCUUCCCGUCGCUGGCUGCGCUCCCUGGAUCGGUUAGGGUUUCUAGG
RNAcentral lists this long non-coding RNA (1665 nucleotides) under Sorghum bicolor (sorghum). Its description in RNAcentral is "long non-coding RNA (SBIC_LNC013961)". The record is from RNAcentral. Lineage: Eukaryota; Viridiplantae; Streptophyta; Magnoliopsida; Poales; Poaceae.